AAGUAGGACAGUUGAUUUAGACAUUUAAUUAACCAGUUGAAUAACUGACUAGAUCUGAUUAAUUAGUAGCUAAUUAUAAGGUCCUGCCAGAUUAAAUUGAUCUCUACUAACCCUAAGGGCAAUUACUAAUCGUUGUGAUAAUUUUUCCCCUGCAUUGUUACAGCAACCUCAGUUAGAAGUAAUGUGAUAAUUUAGGACUAUUAUAUAAGGCUGUCUCCUUGACACAGGACAGUGCUUCGAGCACUGCUAUAAUUAAUUUGAGGCAAUGUUAUUCCUAAUGCUUCUGAGUGAGAUCAGUAAUUAAGUAAUCAUUGAUUUUCUAGGCACAUUUUUGUAGUGCUAUUGAUAAUAUCAUAUUGCCUGUCAAUUCAUUGCCCACUGAAGUGCAGAUUGUAGUAGACAGCCAAACAGUAAGUCAGCAGAUAUGUUAAAGAUGGUGACCAAUGUGAGAAAUGAAAGGCAAAAAGUUUAUUUUCCAGGUUUUCUUAUAACCUUGACUUGGUGCUUGGUAAAAACAGAAUUUUUCUGAAUAGUGUGUGUCAGUGCUAUCUGAAUAGAAACUGAGCUAAGCACUCAUUGGGUACUUCUGUAAUACAAAUCGUUUGACUUAUGUUGCAGGUCUCAAAUAUUUUGCUCAAAAACAGAAAAGCAUAUGCCCACACUGGAUGUCAUCUGAGGGAUGCUUGGAAGGCAUGUCUGGCAGAUUUAUUCCAACAUAAUCGUAAUAACCACCUUCUCUCUAAACUUUGAAAACAUUCAUGGAAGCUGAUGGGAAUGCUCCUGUAAGUAUAUCUGAAGUGAUGCCAGUUACUGAUUAGUUGAAGAGGUCAUAGAACAUAAAUAUUUGAAUGGGAUCUUUCUAAUGGGCCAAGUCAAGUGGUGAGAUGGUCACAGGCUGUUCCAGUUCUAUUCUUCAGAUGANAUUUCACUGAGCAAUAAUUUUAUUAUGGAUUUGUCACUGCAGACAAACUAAAUGUAAUGCUGUCUUGAGUAACAGCCCUUCCUCUGAUUAGUCUCCCAGUUCCUCCAACAAAAUAUAAGGAGAUGGAGAUCAAUCACCCUUGUCAACUGCCAGGAGGAAACAGUCAUCGCCACUGAAUGAUAAAUGCAAUAGAUGUGUGAAUGUGAAUUCUUUUUUUUUUCUACUCCAAUCUCUUACUGGGUAAUCAUUUUCCUCCUCAGCCUAUAUAUGAAGCAGACUCUAGCAGAGAUUUAGGUAACGUGGAUGUUAACCUUCUCUUCACAAAUGGUCCAUAGGCCAGGCUAUGUUGCGUUAGAUCAUCAGUAAGGCUAGCAGAAGGACCUACUUCUUCCUCAGUUGCUUACAGAGAGCCACAUCCUGUGUCAGGGUUUCUCUUAUCAUUGUACAAUUUUAUGUUGGUUAACGAUGAAGUGACCCUUCUGUAGUAUAUUGGCAAAGGUACAAUAUCACUCUGCUUCGUAGCUUUUGCUUAAAGAUAACUAAUUCUUAUUUGCUUUCCUUAAUGCCACUUUGGUAACACUAAAGGAAUUAGUGAUUAGUGUGACUGCGUGAUCUAUUGAUUCACUGAGAAUAUGUGUUAUUUCC
Pavo cristatus (Indian peafowl) is the source of this 1567-nucleotide long non-coding RNA. Lineage: Eukaryota; Metazoa; Chordata; Aves; Galliformes; Phasianidae. The record is from Ensembl.